AGUAAUUGUGGGAAGCAGGGGUCAGUGGAGUGCCCACUUCCACCCAGAAACCUGAGACGACCCCUGCAAGCCCUAAACACAGGAACAGAGCCAAGUAGGGCGCGGCCGCACUUCAUGCAGGAAGGCUGGCCAAGAGGCAGCUGCACGCAGCGAGGAAACCUGGAGGCUAAGCCAGCGAGCGGCCGUGCCAAGAGCCGAGAGCUGGCCAGCGCCAAGGAGCAAGGAGGGAGACGGCCAGGAGGAGACUGGCAGCGUCCGGAGGUGCUGGCGCCCAGGUCAGCCGCAGAGGGGCUGGACACGGGUCUUCAAACUAUUCUCUUUUAACACACGUGUUCCUUCUCGAUAACCAGGCGGGAGUUCCAAAGAGUCUCAAGGCCCCGGCUGUCACAGGGCAGUGCUGAGCUCAAGUUCAUCAAAACUCAGCUUCCAGGAUUAGCCGGUUCCGUAAGUUGAUUUGGCAAGUUAGCAUUUUCAAAGUAUCUUCUGAUGACAAAAGUACAGAGAUGGAAAACAGGGAAGGGGGAUGGCUCUCAGGGGCUGGGAACAGCUGUAUCCUAACUGUCCUGGACGACCCCUCCUCUGUGCAGCUGGAAACCAGUGAACACAGGGCCGGCCUGCAGCCUGUUCACAGCACCGUGCUGGCACCAAGUCCCCCGUUCUGAUGUCACACCAUGGCCACACAGAACAGCCGGGGGAGUGAUGGCAGAAGGAUUCAUGGGACCCUAUGGGCUAAUUCUGCAACUUCCUGGAGUCUAUUAAUUAUUUCAAAAUAACAAGUUAAGAAAGCAUGCUCUGGAGUGGAACUUACACAGAUGUGUUGAAACCCAGUGUAAUUCGCUGAAGAUAGUACCUAGAUAAAGCUGACUUUUAACAAAACUAAAAGUUUUGUUGAUGGGCGUCAGGCUCCAGGGACCCUUAAACAGAAUACAAAACCUGGCGUGGGGCAUCGUGCUGGGAAGAGCAUCUACAGCUUUGACUUAUUUUCAAAGAGCUUUGUGACACCCCAAAGGCAAGACCCUUCAGUCCAUAAAGCAACCGUAAAACUGAAUUUACAACUAUGUAAGAUUUAGAUAUAUAUGGGCUUCCCUGGUAGCUCAGUUGGUAAGUAAUCUGUCUACAAUGCAGGAGACACAGGUUAGAUCCCUGGGUUGGGAAGAUCCCCUGGAGAAGGGAAUGGCUACCUGCUCCAGUAUUCCACAAAGGAGCUUGGUGGGCUGCAGUCCAUGGGGUCACAAAGAGACGAACACACACCUACUGUACUAUACACAUUAUCAAUAAACGUGUUUUUAAACAAAGUCGUUAACAUUCACUUAGCAAUCUUAAAUGUCAGCACUUGAGUUUAAAGCAAACAUUCCCCAAGACUCCUCCAGACGUGCUGGGCCUACAGUGACAGAAGUUAAGGGUUAAAGUUAACCCUAAGACCAGCCAGCCUGCAGCUGCUGCCCAGUGAAACCCAACGGGAAAACAAUACAGACCAGGGCUUCAUUGACUCAGCAAAGAUGGGAAAUACUCCACACUAAGAAGGAGCGAACAACUUCCCUGGUGAUUCAGUGAUUAAGAAUCUGCCUGCCAAUGCAGGGGACAGGAGUUCGAUCCUUGGGCCCAGAAGACCCCACAUGCCCUGGGGCAACUAAGCCUGGUGCACCUCAACUACUGAGCCUCAAGCCAUUAGUACCGAGCCCCUGAGCCCGAAACUCCACGCUCCACAAGAGAGACCGCCCACAGUGAGAGGCCCCCCACUGCAGCUGGAGCCCAGCCCCCGCCUGCCGCAACGAGAAACGCCCCGCGACAACAGGGACCCAGUGUAGCCAAAACCAAAUAGAAUCAAAACCAAAAAGGAGCAGAGAGACGUGCAGCCACUUUCCCAGACCUUCUAUCCUGGCGAGGUCAUUGCCAGGGGCCUGCACCAGGGAGGGAGGGGUGGAAAGAGGCCAGUGGCCUCGCAGGUCAGUGGGAGCUGGAAUUUGCCAGGGCCCCCAGCUCUGACCAGGAGGGAACCUUCUGUCAGCUGGUUUAAUGUACAGGUUGGACUCAAGCCCAUCACCGUCUCCAGCGUUUAUAUUUAAGCAGCCAAAUAUGCUUACUCAUUUUCCUCAGCUCUGAGAUAAGAGUCUUAUUCUUACCAAAGAGGAAAUAAAGCCUGUUUCUCAAGUCACCAUGAGAAAGCAAAAACGAGGAAGUCCCAUCCCUACCGUGUGCCCCGGAGCACUCCCAGCCACGGAGCAUUUCACUAUUUCUCUGACACCCCUCACGGUUCCCAGCAGAUCGGAAUGGAGGCUCACCUAGUCUGGGUUUGCGCUGCAGAGGAUGGGAAGGCCAAGCCCCCCAGUUCCGUCCCAGGAAGCGGGAACUGGAGUGAGGGUCGUCGAUCAUCAAGGGGUUAAGACUGAGGCUUCAGGCCACGGUCGAGCGGCGUCUCAGGGAGACCUGGACUCCUGAGACUGCGUCUGAGCCGCCGCCUCAGAAGACAAUGACAGGCGGACUCUUAACCAGUUCAGCCACCAGAGAAGCCCAAUUUCCAGUAGAAAACUCGAAUUUACCAUGGCAACAAAGACUCUCUGCUGUUUCUCUUGUUUGGGGGCAAACGCCUGCCAAGACCCCAAGUGUGAACUGCACGGCCGGCUCAGCACGGGUCGGGGUUUGCCCGUCGCCCGAGUGAGUGCUGCAGGAGGCUGACACCUGAGGGCCCAGACUGAAGUCGGCUGCAUCAAGGGUGUUUGCCGGCUCACCCCGAGACCCGGGGCUCGCUCGGGCACUUCCUCCCCAGGGUGUGUGUGAGGGGAUCCUGCCCGUGGCCACGCCGGGAUCCUCGCUGAGGAGCCAACAGCUUCACCCGCCGGGGCUUCUGCACCAUCCGUGCCCACGGGAGCCCCAUGAAAAAGCCGAAUCACCCUGUACUAGUUUCUGAGGCCGUGGUAACAGAGGAUCAUAACCUUCAAGGCUUAAACACCAGAAACUCAUUGUCUCAAAGUUCUGGCGGCUGGAAGUCCAAGGCCAGGUGUCAGCACGGUCACUCCCUCUGGUCCAGCUUGGCUGUGAUCUUUGUGUCGCCUCACGUUGUAGAGGUGUCAGCCUGACCCCUGCCUCUGUCUUCAGGUGACCUUCUCUGUGUGUGUCUAUGACCAAGUGUCCUCUGAUAAGGACAGUAGCCAUGUUGAGUUAGGGCCCAUCCUAAUGACCCCACCUUAUAUGAACUGGGGGACACAAUCCAACCUUUAACAUACUGCUGUCUUGUUAUGACGCUCGUCUAGAGCUCAGGGCCCCCCAGGGACCUGUGGACCCUGCCUGGGAGAAUGCUCCAUGGGGGUAACUGCGGAACAGGCUGCGUGCCCCCGACUUUAAUUCUGCCCCUCGUGGAAGCCCAGCAAUUCCCACAGCAAUCGCUUUUGGGGGGAGGGUUAAUAGGAAUCGUUCUUAUGCUUCUCCGAAUGGAGCUGUUCUCAGCACCACCCUCACCCAUGAAGCCGCCCUGCCAAGCACACCUUCCCAGGUGACAGGCACACGUUGUGCCUUUAUUGUGAUCCCGGUGGCUGAUACGGGUGUGACGACAUCUUGCCUCCUGUGCUAUUUUGUGCAGCAAUCUUUCAGUGAGUCAAAUAUUUUGAAAAAGUCAGAAAGAAAUGGAAAAGAAGAAUCUCCACUCAAAAUAGCAUUGGGCCCCGCUGGCCUUUUGGCCCGGCCCGAGUGGGGGAGGAGACGGGGGGAAUCAGAGGCCCGCGGGUGAGGGGACAGUCACAAAGACAGCCUGUCCCCAGCACAGAGCCAGCCUUGUUGGUGGGAUGUCCGUGGGUGGCACAGCUGGGCACUGGGCAGGCGCUGGGUGGGCAGCU
Long non-coding RNA from Odocoileus virginianus texanus, 3830 nucleotides. RefSeq lists it as uncharacterized. The record is from RefSeq and is a predicted model, not a curated record. Lineage: Eukaryota; Metazoa; Chordata; Mammalia; Artiodactyla; Cervidae.